RNAcentral lists this small nuclear RNA (159 nucleotides) under Crocodylus porosus (Australian saltwater crocodile). RNAcentral's name for it is "U1 spliceosomal RNA (ENSCPRG00005015498.1)". The record is from RNAcentral. Lineage: Eukaryota; Metazoa; Chordata; Crocodylia; Crocodylidae.
AAAUGUAUGUUUUAGUCUCAUGAUCAACAAGGUGUUUUUCCCAGGGUAAGGCCUGAACCUUGCACUCUGGGCAGGAUGACCCCCUGUGUGUUUCCCUAAAUGUGGGAAACUUGGCCACACAGUUUUGUCUAAAUGGGAUACCAUGUUCCUGCUUUCUCC